GGAAAAGAAUACCGGGAAAGAACCCGAGACAUCGAGUCAAGGCCAAGAGGUGACUUAUAUAAGGUGAAAUGAAUAAUAAAGCAGCUGAGCAAGAUUUCUGAAAAGACAUAGUGAGACUAUUUUGGGGUAUAUCAUAGGUAUACCCUUGUACUUUAGAUUUUGAUGUAAUUCUGUAAUUAUAUGUAUGAAAUUUCCUUUGAGCAGUUGUACCAACUUUUUUGUAAUAUAUUUUUGGAUUGCAAUCAAAUACAAAUUAUUGUAAUAUUAUCUUGAGAUUUUAUGUACUUAUAAUGUUUUGUACUACUAAAUUUUUAAUACUCCCAUGAAUGUAAAAAUUAAUUUUUUCACCAUAA
Hevea brasiliensis (rubber tree) is the source of this 353-nucleotide long non-coding RNA. RefSeq lists it as uncharacterized. Lineage: Eukaryota; Viridiplantae; Streptophyta; Magnoliopsida; Malpighiales; Euphorbiaceae. The transcript is spliced from 2 exons. The record is from RefSeq and is a predicted model, not a curated record.